UUUAGAUGAGGUGGUUCGUCAAUGAGGACCAGGGACCAGCUGGUCCUACAUUGUCCACGUUAGUAUGUAUUAUGGAACUCAAAUAGUAAUCUGAGUAUUUGGAUCAUUAGGCUGCAGCGGCGGACACAUCGUUGUAUUAACAAUGGAUUCAAUUACUAAUGUGGUUGGAGAGAGUUGUACCAAAACAGAGCUACAAUGAUAAGUUGAUAUGAAGUAGAAUCAGAAACAUAACUUAAAUGUUAAAUUAACAUGUUUUUGUUGUUCUGUUUGUGGAUGUGUAAAUAAGCAAAUGCAAUUAUUAGGCACUUGACAAUGUAUCGAUGUCAAAAGUUUGAAAACAGCUUGUUCCGCUGCCCCCAUGUGGUCGGAAAAACAGCCCAAAUGAACUAACCGAACAUAUGAUGGGGGAGAAAUUGAAGGAUGUCACACCACCAAUGAGCUUCCAGUAAAAGCUUCAGUGAUCUUUGGCACAGAUUGUCUCUCAAACUCCUCUGUUGCAUGUGAAGAUCUCUAUUCGUACAAAGCGAGCCUGCGGGUCCUAUUUAACAGGGAGAAAGAAUGGUCUUGUUCUUCUAGAGAGCUGAAGCUUCUGAGUGGCAAUUGUAAUCCCACCGUAAACACUUACACAUUAAACUGUCAACAACGGCAAAAACGCAAGGGAACAGUCAGUAUAAUGCAAAGUAUUGAAU
Long non-coding RNA from Gasterosteus aculeatus aculeatus (three-spined stickleback), 689 nucleotides. The record is from Ensembl. NCBI's taxonomy places the organism in Eukaryota, Metazoa, Chordata, Actinopteri, Perciformes, Gasterosteidae.